UAUCAACGAAGACAUCAAUCUUUCUUCCUUUUAUCAAUCUAUUUAAGGUUUUCUUUUCUUCUACAGGUUUCUUUUUCGUUAGUGUUUCCUUCUGAACCAAGAUGUUUCUUCUUCCUUUUAUCUGCUUUCUGUCUCUGGUAAUUCAAAAAGGAUGACGGCGAUUCAAGCCGAUUGGUGAAGAUUUCACAAAAUCAAUGUCGGGUUCAGAUUUACAGGUAUACAAGUUUUUACGAUUUAAUUUUUGAGUUGGUUUACAUGUUGAUUUUAAAAUCUUAAACCCAACAUUGUCACCUUAUGUAAUUUUUGGUGUUCUUGCUUAUUGAGUUAGGACUUAUUAAACCCAGGUAUCGUGAUUUUUAAGUUUAGGGUUUUUUAGUUUCGAAAUUGAUUGAUGCUCAAUAAUUAUGUGAUUAAGAGAUCUGGUCACAGGGGGUUCGGCUUUAUGACCUUUGCUGAGGACGGUGUUGCAGAUCGUGUUUCAAGAAGGUCACACGAGAUUUGUGGACAACAGUUAGUCGCCGGUAGUGCUACUUCUUGAUUUUUGUCUUAACUUAACUUCUCGUAAGCUACCCAUUGCAGUUCAUCACUGAUACUUUAUAAGGUGGGCGGGUGAUCAAGAAUGGGAAACGUGCGCACAUGAAAAUAGUGUUGGGUGGAUGGAGAUGGCUGAGCCGGUUAUGAAUCUUUGUACAAAAACUAUU
Molecule: long non-coding RNA, 701 nt
Filed under: Helianthus annuus (common sunflower)
Lineage: Eukaryota; Viridiplantae; Streptophyta; Magnoliopsida; Asterales; Asteraceae
Source: RNAcentral